Molecule: non-coding RNA, 450 nt
Organism: Anolis sagrei ordinatus
Lineage: Eukaryota; Metazoa; Chordata; Lepidosauria; Squamata; Anolidae
Source: RefSeq, a predicted model, not a curated record
CCGCCAUUUUAGAAGGACGAGGCGGAGGCGAGCGGGAAGGAAGGAAGGAAGCAAAGCAGGCCGGGAAGAGGUGAGACGUGGAGCCGCUCAGUGUUUUUAUGAGAGACUAGCCAUCCCCUGCCAGGUGUUGCUGUGGCCCAGUCUGGUGAUCUGGAAAAUAAAGGAAAUGAGGACUCUUUGGAGCGACCUCUUGGAUGCAGUAAGGAAACCAAUAAUAUUGGAAGAAGAAAUCCUGUCAAGGUGAUCAUCCUGCUGCAUUCUGAACUUCACUUACAGAUAAUAAAGGAAUAAAGAAGAGUCAAGUCUCUGUAUUGCAAUUACAGACUGCUCUGACUCCCUUUCAGGGUGUGAAGAGGGUAUAAAAACAGUGAAUAUUAAAUUAAACACCCAUAUCACUGUUGACAUGGAGGAGAAAGCAUUUAAAUGCCUGGAGUGUGGAAAGAGUUUCAA